AGAGUUUGAUCCUGGCUCAGCGCGAACGCUGGCGGCAUGGCUAAAACAUGCAAGUCGAACGCGAAAGGGGCUUCGGCCCCGAGUAUAGUGGCGAAAGGGCGAGUAAUGCGUUUCUAACGUGCCCCAAGGUCAGGGAUAGCCCGGGGAAACCCGGAUUAAUACCUGAUUACCCUGCGAGAUCGUAUGGUUUUGCAGGCAAAGGCUUGCUGCCUUGGGAUCGGGAAACGUCCUAUCCGCUAGUUGGUGAGGUAACGGCUCACCAAGGCGAAGACGGGUAACGGGUGUGAGAGCACGGCCCGCCGCAUCGGGACUGAGACACUGCCCGGACUCCUACGGGAGGCUGCAGUAACGAAUAUUCCGCAAUGGGCGAAAGCCUGACGGAGCAAUGCCGCGUGCAGGAUGAAGCCCCUCGGGGUGUAAACUGCUGUCAGG
This 432-nucleotide ribosomal RNA is filed under the name uncultured bacterium. RNAcentral describes it as "bacterial SSU rRNA". It matches the Rfam family "Bacterial small subunit ribosomal RNA", at positions 8 to 440 of the family's 1533-position model. The record is from RNAcentral.